RNAcentral lists this transfer RNA (91 nucleotides) under Escherichia coli. RNAcentral's name for it is "tRNA-Ser(tga)". Lineage: Bacteria; Pseudomonadati; Pseudomonadota; Gammaproteobacteria; Enterobacterales; Enterobacteriaceae. RNAcentral also lists the same sequence under 2 other names. The record is from RNAcentral.
GGAAGGGCAAAUCGACGUGGCGACGAAAACGGUCUUGAAAACCGCCGAGCUUGAAAGAGCCUUGGGAGUUCGACUCUCCCUCCUUCCGCCA